UACAGAGGGGGCAAGCGUUGUUCGGAAUUACUGGGCGUAAAGGGCGCGUAGGCGGCCUUCUAAGUCGAACGUGAAAUCCCCGGGCUCAACCCGGGAACUGCGUCCGAUACUGGAAGGCUUGAAUCCGGGAGAGGGAUGUGGAAUUCCAGGUGUAGCGGUGAAAUUCGUAGAUAUCAAGUGGAACACCGGUGGCGAAGGCGGCCUUCUGGACAGUGACUGACGCUGAGACGCGAAAGCGUGGGGAGCAAACAGG
RNAcentral lists this ribosomal RNA (253 nucleotides) under uncultured bacterium. Its description in RNAcentral is "partial 16S ribosomal RNA". It matches the Rfam family "Bacterial small subunit ribosomal RNA", at positions 524 to 776 of the family's 1533-position model. The record is from RNAcentral.